This 332-nucleotide ribosomal RNA is filed under the name uncultured eukaryote. RNAcentral describes it as "partial 18S ribosomal RNA". It matches the Rfam family "Eukaryotic small subunit ribosomal RNA", at positions 592 to 976 of the family's 1831-position model. The record is from RNAcentral.
CAAUAGCGUAUAUUAAAGUUGUUGCAGUUAAAAAGCUCGUAGUUGAAUUUCGGGUCCCCGCGCUCGGCGCUUCAUUGUGCCGUCGUGGUGUCCCUCCUCGCCGUCAGGCGUCCUUUACUGUGAAAAAAUUAGAGUGUUCAAAGCAGGCAAUCGCUUGAAUACAUUAGCAUGGAAUAAUAAGAUAGGAUCUUGUCUAUUUUGUUGGUUGCGGACAAUGAUAAUGAUUAAUAGGGAUAGUUGGGGGUGUCCGUAUUGAGCUGUCAGAGGUGAAAUUCUUGGAUUUGCUCAAGACGAACUACUGCGAAAGCAUUCACCAAGGAUGUUUUCAUUGA